This 24-nucleotide non-coding RNA is filed under the name Cricetulus griseus (Chinese hamster). Lineage: Eukaryota; Metazoa; Chordata; Mammalia; Rodentia; Cricetidae. The record is from RNAcentral.
AGACAAGGAAUGUAGAGAAGAGUU